Molecule: ribosomal RNA, 237 nt
Filed under: Fructobacillus pseudoficulneus
Lineage: Bacteria; Bacillati; Bacillota; Bacilli; Lactobacillales; Lactobacillaceae
Description: partial 16S ribosomal RNA
Rfam family: Bacterial small subunit ribosomal RNA
Source: RNAcentral
CGGUAAGGGUAGGAAAUGAUCUUUACAUGACGGUACCAUACCAGAAAGGGACGGCUAAAUACGUGCCAGCAGCCGCGGUAAUACGUAUGUCCCGAGCGUUAUCCGGAUUUAUUGGGCGUAAAGCGAGCGCAGACGGUUUGAUAAGUCUGAAGUGAAAGCCCACAGCUCAACUGUGGAAGUGCUUUGGAAACUGUCAAACUUGAGUGCAGUAGAGGUAAGUGGAACUCCAUGUGUAGC